CCGAUGUGGUUUGUUUACACUGCGGUGGCGCACCAGCUGAUCCUCACACCGUCUCCCCUGCCGCGCUGGGGAAUCACUGGAGCUACCACGGGAAAAAGACCUCACACUGUCCCGGGGAAAAACCUAUUGACAAGGCUGACAGCGCCGCAGGGUAUUGGAUUAUUCGAGGUGCCGAUGAGCAGAGUAACUUCUAAUACAACAUGGCAUCACGCCUUUUUCCACACUAUAAGCCAAGCUCUAAAAGUGCGGCAGACAUCGUGGAAUGUAUUUAUUUUGGUGACGAGUGAUGAUCCUACCUUCCUUAUGGCCUUCGCAAAAUGGUCUGUUCGGGCUCGGCUACUGGUGUGGUCAACGAGGCUUCUGGUUUAUACUAAUAACCAUUUGCAGGGAAUGCAAGAGCUACACAAGAUUCUGUCGCUGACAAAUUCUAUUUUGUUGCUUUCAGAAAACACAACGCAAAUGGAACGAGUGCAGAUGUUCAGCGUUGUGCCAUACAGUAAUCCCCAGCGCAGGCCUCUACUCGUCGCUUCCUGGGCACCACAGAGAGGGUUGGUCCUAGAGUCAACCCACACUCUCUUUCCGGAGAAAUUUGAAAAGUUCAAUUCACUUGUUGAAGCAUCUGUAACCAUGACGGAAGAUGCGACACAUGAAGCUGUGAUGGAGGAAGAUCCUAAGAAAGUUGGACACCAGCGACUUGUUUUCAAAGGUUACAUGGUGACCGUUCUUGAUUUCAUAGCGCAAGGACAAAAUUUUUCGUACACCUUUAGGAAAUCUCCUGAUGGCACUUAUGGCGUUAAAGGCAAGGAUGGCACUUGGACUGGCAUGGUGGGUCAAGUGUACAGAGAGGAGGCCGAUCUCGGCCUAGGACCUUUCACGCUGACGGAGGAACGAGCUGGUUCAGUAGACUACACAUGGCCGGUGAAAGUCUCUCAGUUAAGAUACUGGCUGGUCAGAGGCAACUGAAGGUCGAUCCUUGGAGCUUCUUGCUCCCCUUUGCCCCUUCUGUAUGGAUCGUUACCCUUGUUUUUCUUUUAUUUGUACCCAACGUGAUGGUGAUUCUUUCAUCCUUUACUUUCGGGAAAAUACCAAAGCAUGAUGAAUGGACAAGACAAAAUCUGGAUUUCCUGAGCAUAGUACUACAGGAGAGUGCAGAUCUGCAGUCAACUGGACUCUUGUGGGAGAGAGUUGUGGUUGGGGUAUGGCUGCUGAUGACUCUCGUGCUCACCAAGAGCUACGAGGGAAACUUAAUGUCUCAGCUGGCGGUGAGGCAUAUCCCACAACCCUACCAAAGCCUUAGAGAUGUCCUCGACGAUCCCACCACCACAAUGAUCUGGCAGAAAGGAAGCUCACAUUUGGAGCUUAU
RNA transcript from Portunus trituberculatus (swimming crab), 1363 nucleotides. RefSeq lists it as uncharacterized. NCBI's taxonomy places the organism in Eukaryota, Metazoa, Arthropoda, Malacostraca, Decapoda, Portunidae. The record is from RefSeq and is a predicted model, not a curated record. The transcript has 8 exons.